Small nuclear RNA from Fukomys damarensis (Damara mole-rat), 134 nucleotides. Its record names the gene U4. It matches the Rfam family "U4 spliceosomal RNA". From Rfam's summary of the family: U4 small nuclear RNA (U4 snRNA) is a component of the major U2-dependent spliceosome. NCBI's taxonomy places the organism in Eukaryota, Metazoa, Chordata, Mammalia, Rodentia, Bathyergidae. The record is from Ensembl.
AGCUUUGCACAGUGGCAGUGUCAUAGCCACUGAGGUUUAUCUGAGGCGCGGUUAUUGCUAAUUGAAAACUUCCCAGUUUAUUGCAGCCUGGGAUUGGGUUUUGCACCUGGAACUGUUAAAAAUCAAUAUUUUGU